Pteropus alecto (black flying fox) is the source of this 74-nucleotide non-coding RNA. NCBI's taxonomy places the organism in Eukaryota, Metazoa, Chordata, Mammalia, Chiroptera, Pteropodidae. The record is from Rfam.
GGCUCCAUAGUGUAGUGGUUGGCACGUCUGCUUUACAUGCAGAAGAUUCUGAGUUCACGCCCCAGGUGGAGCCA